GUGAGGAAUAUUGGUCAAUGGACGAGAGUCUGAACCAGCCAAGUCGCGUGAAGGAAGACGGUUCUAUGAAUUGUAAACUUCUUUUGUGCAGGAAUAAAGUGGGUUACGUGUAACCUUUUGUAUGUACUGUACGAAUAAGGAUCGGCUAACUCCGUGCCAGCAGCCGCGGUAAUACGGAGGAUCCGAGCGUUAUCCGGAUUUAUUGGGUUUAAAGGGUGCGUAGGUGGAUUGAUAAGUCAGCGGUGAAAGUUUGCAGCUUAACUGUAAAAUUGCCGUUGAAACUGUCGGGCUUGAGUGCAAAUGAGGUAGGCGGAAUGUGUUGUGUAGCGGUGAAAUGCUUAGAUAUAACACAGAACUCCGAUUGCGAAGGCAGCUUACUGGGAUGCAACUGACACUGAUGCACGAAAGCGUGGGUAUCAAACAGGAUUAGAAACCCGAGUAGUCC
This 445-nucleotide ribosomal RNA is filed under the name uncultured bacterium. RNAcentral's name for it is "partial 16S ribosomal RNA". It matches the Rfam family "Bacterial small subunit ribosomal RNA", at positions 354 to 796 of the family's 1533-position model. The record is from RNAcentral.